GGAGAGGUGGCUCAGUGGUUAAGAGCACUGGCUGCUCUUCCAGAGGUCCUGAGUUCAAUUCCCAGCAACCACA
Non-coding RNA from Neotoma lepida (desert woodrat), 73 nucleotides. NCBI's taxonomy places the organism in Eukaryota, Metazoa, Chordata, Mammalia, Rodentia, Cricetidae. The record is from Rfam.